CCUUUAAAGAAAGCGUAAUAGCUCACUAGUCGAGUCGGCCUGCGCGGAAGAUGUAACGGGGCUAAGCAAUAUACCGAAGCUGCGGAUACGUGUUUACACGUAUGGUAGGGGAGCGUUGUGUAAGUGGAUGAAGGUGAAUCGAGAGGUUUGCUGGACAUAUCACAAGUGCGAAUGCUGACAUGAGUAACGACAAUGGGGGUGAAAAACCCCCACGCCGGAAGACCAAGGGUUCCUGCGCAACGCUAAUCGGCGCAGGGUGAGUCGGCCCCUAAGGCGAGACCGAAAGGUGUAGUCGAUGGGAAACGGAUUAAUAUUUCCGUACUUAUAUAAUCAGUGAUGGAGGGACGGAGAAGGCUAAGCAAGCUUGGCGUUGGUUGUCCAAGUGAAAGCAAGUAGGCCGAGUGUUUAGGUAAAUCCGGACGCUUAAAGCUGAGAUG
Molecule: ribosomal RNA, 437 nt
Filed under: Thalassiosira punctigera
Lineage: Eukaryota; Bacillariophyta; Thalassiosirophyceae; Thalassiosirales; Thalassiosiraceae
Description: partial Bacterial large subunit ribosomal RNA
Rfam family: Bacterial large subunit ribosomal RNA
Source: RNAcentral